Molecule: ribosomal RNA, 443 nt
Filed under: uncultured bacterium
Lineage: Bacteria
Description: partial 16S ribosomal RNA
Rfam family: Bacterial small subunit ribosomal RNA
Source: RNAcentral
CCUACGGGAGGCAGCAGUGGGGGAUAUUGGUCAAUGGCCGGAACCCUGAACCAGCGACGCCGCGUGAGUGAAGAAGUAUUUAGGUAUGUAAAGCCCUGUUAGCAGGGAAGAAAGCAACGACGGUACCUGACCAAGAAGCCCCGGCCAAGUACGUGCCAGCAGCCGCGGUAAUACGUCGGGCGCAAGCGUUCGGCGGAAUUACUGGGGGUAAAGGGAGCGUAGGUGGCUGUGGAACUCUGGAGGUAAAGGCGGGGGGCCAAACCCCGGACUGCUGUGGAAACUGUAUGGCUGGAGUGCAGGAAGGGUAAGCGGAAUGCGUGGUGUAGCGGUGAAAUGCGUAGAUAUCAGGAGGAACUCCAGUGGCGAAGGCGGCUUACUGGACUGUAACUGACGUUGAGGCACGAAAGCGUGGGGAGCGAACAGGAUUAGAUACCCUGGUAGUC